RNAcentral lists this small RNA (127 nucleotides) under Marmota monax (woodchuck). The record is from RNAcentral. Lineage: Eukaryota; Metazoa; Chordata; Mammalia; Rodentia; Sciuridae.
GCCGGGCGCAGUGGCCCACACCUGUCAUCCCAGCAGCUCGGGAGGCUGAGGCAGGAGGAUCGAGAGUUCAAAGGCAGCCUCAGCAAUUUAGCGAGGCCCUAAGCAGCUCAGCGAGACCCUGUCUCUA